AUUGAACGCUGGCGGCAUGCUCUACACAUGCAAGUCGAACGGUAACAGGCCGCAAGGUGCUGACGAGUGGCGAACGGGUGAGUAAUGCAUCGGAACGUGCCCAGUCGUGGGGGAUAACUACUCGAAAGAGUAGCUAAUACCGCAUACGAUCUAUGGAUGAAAGCGGGGGACCGUAAGGCCUCGCGCGAUUGGAGCGGCCGGUGUCAGAUUAGGUAGUUGGUGGGGUAAAGGCUCACCAAGCCAACGAUCUGUAGCUGGUCUGAGAGGACGACCAGCCACACUGGGACUGAGACACGGCCCAGACUCCUACGGGAGGCAGCAGUGGGGAAUUUUGGACAAUGGGCGCAAGCCUGAUCCAGCAAUGCCGCGUGCAGGAAGAAGGCCUUCGGGUUGUAAACUGCUUUUGUACGGAACGAAACGGCUCUGGUUAAUACCCGGGGCUAAUGACGGUACCGUAAGAAUAAGCACCGGCUAACUACGUG
RNAcentral lists this ribosomal RNA (482 nucleotides) under uncultured bacterium. RNAcentral describes it as "partial 16S ribosomal RNA". It matches the Rfam family "Bacterial small subunit ribosomal RNA", at positions 30 to 507 of the family's 1533-position model. The record is from RNAcentral.